RNAcentral lists this transfer RNA (73 nucleotides) under Saccharina sp. Its description in RNAcentral is "tRNA-His". The record is from RNAcentral. Lineage: Eukaryota; Phaeophyceae; Laminariales; Laminariaceae.
AGUAUAUUAUAGGUAUCAAGGUGGGUGUAGCCAAGUGGUUAAGGCAGUGGGUUGUGAUUCCGCCAUCCGCGGG